UGCAUAACUCCUUCUGGGGGAAGCCAUCUGCCAUAUUGUGAGGACACUCAAGCAGUUCUAUGAAAGGUCUACACAGCAAGGAACUGAGGCCUCCUUCCAACAGUCAGUGAGGAAUUAAGGUCCUCAUGCCAACAACCACAUCCAAGAUGCACAAGUAUAAGCAUUUUUCCUGAACAAACCCUUUUGAACUUCAAAAAAAUCUAUGAGUCUGGUGAAGAGAUGGGUGGAUAAAAUGUCCUGGCGCUCGCAAAGAAGAAAACGGCAGAUUCUGAAAGAUAAGAUGCUGCCUCUUGGAAAGUUUCUUAGUGGAACCAUUAAAUAGGAGAUGGUAGCAUACCUACGAAAGAAGGAAAGGAAAGCUCAGGAUGGACUUCUCUUUCCAGCUGUGUCCCCAUCAGCCGUUGAUGGAAAACAAAGGAGGAGCAGCUCCAGGAGCCCCUGAGAACAACUAUGGAGCCACUCAAGGGGGCAGAUCCAGGCUGCAGUCAUGGGCCUUCCCAAGCCCAGAAAGUGGCUGCUAGUUCACUGUUCUCGCAAGCACUUGGAUACACUUUCUUUGAUGUCCCUUCUUUUCUACAAGAAAUGGCCAUAUCUGCAGUUGAGUAGCUUUCUUAGCCUGAUUCCUGCCUAGAGAUAUUUAGGAAUUCAGAGGUCUUUGUGCAAAUUUCACAAUCUCAGUUCCUGCUACAGCAGUGUGGUUGUUUAGAUCCCCUGAAUGAAUCACCUCACUGAGACAAAUACAACAACAGGUGCAACAUAAGAAACACCUUUAAAUGUAAUGCUGAGCUGGCACAGAAGCUAGAAAUCCACAGAACGACUUGGAAAUAUCAGGCACCAAUCCUGGUUCUGUGAGAUCUUAAACUUACAAAAUUUGGAGGACCUCCAACAAAAGAAUACUAAAUUUAAAAAACAAAAUGAGGUGCAGUAUCUUGGAAAGAGUCUAUGCAAAUGGAGAGUUCUAAAACUCAUGUUUCAUUAACUUCACAGUACAUCUGCUUCCAGAAAGUAGUAAACCUAGAAAAAGUGUAUUAUUUGAGAGGACAAUAGAGAUAUUGAUAAACUUUAGACAUUCUUAAAUGUGCAUAUUGAAAUAGCUAAGAUAACCAUUAAUAGAACAGACGUAGACUAUAUACCUUUAAAACAAUUAGAGGGAAAACAAUGGAUCAGAUUUUAAGGCACUCCAUCUGAAUUAAGGCACAAAAGGAGAAGAUAAAAGAGGAUGAAACAAAUAUAAAUUGCAUAGUAAAAAUGUAGGCAUAAAUCCUAAUUGCACUAAAUAGAAAUGGAAAGAAAGUCUCCCCUAAAAUAUGAGGACCAUCAGUCUGAACAAAAUAGAAAAACCAAAUUCAACUAUAUAAUGAUUAUAAGAGAUAACUGUAAAACCUAAAGACACAGAAUAAAUGAAAUCAAAAGAUGGAAUAAAACGCAUUAGGGAAAUAAUAACCUGAAAAGAAAAUUCUAAAUUUAAAUACUACUAAUAGCCUCAAAUAUAUAAAGCAAGAAUUACUGGAACAACGAAGAGAAAUUGAUGAAUUACCUUAAUGAUGGAAUAUUUUAACACAGCUUCUCUAAGUAAGUGAUACGACAAGCAGCUAUCACACCUAACGAACGAAGAAUAUACAUGUUUCUCACAUAGAAAACACUUAUAAAAUUUGACCACAUAUUGAUCAUAAAGCUAUCCUCAACAAACUUCAAAAAAUUUGUAUCAUACAGAGCACAUAUUCUGAUUACAACAUAAUUAGGUUAGACAUAAAUAACAAAAAAGAUAACUUAAAAUGUUUUAAAAUUAUAAAGGCAUAUUCCUAAAUAAUUCAUGGGACAAAAAAGAAAUAAAAAUGAAAAUUAGAAAAUAUUUAUAAAUGAAUAUAAUAAAAAUAGUAGGUAUUACCUUCAUGGUACUUAGAGGGAAAUUUGUAGCCUGAAAUGCUUAAAGUAGAAAAGAAGCCUCAAAAUUAGUGAGUUAGACAAC
Molecule: long non-coding RNA, 1969 nt
Organism: Equus caballus (horse)
Lineage: Eukaryota; Metazoa; Chordata; Mammalia; Perissodactyla; Equidae
Source: RefSeq, a predicted model, not a curated record